Molecule: non-coding RNA, 336 nt
Organism: Cinara cedri
Lineage: Eukaryota; Metazoa; Arthropoda; Insecta; Hemiptera; Aphididae
Source: the annotation of a GenBank genome assembly
CAAGAAAUUAUACAACUACAAACCUGAACUUGAAUGCAUUUUUCGAUCCACGGUCAACAUUCUUGGUACAAAUCGUGUGGCAUUUUGACACAUCUCUAGUUAUUAAGUAACAAUUUUUUGGUAUUAUCGAUGAGAAAUGGAAAAAAAAAGGCGAACUUCAAAAAGCUCGUGAAAUCGAUACAAAAAAUAUCGGUGACAUAAAAACAAAGAAAUUUAUAGAGAAUCUACAAAAACAUAUUUGUUUAGAAAAAGUCAUAUAGAACUCAGUGAUACGGAUUUUACUGCUAUUCAAUUCUCGGUUUACGAGUAAUACUAUCAGUCUCUAUACUUUAUAUU